This 492-nucleotide ribosomal RNA is filed under the name uncultured bacterium. RNAcentral describes it as "partial 16S ribosomal RNA". It matches the Rfam family "Bacterial small subunit ribosomal RNA", at positions 29 to 507 of the family's 1533-position model. The record is from RNAcentral.
AGUGAACGCUGGCGGUAGGCCUAACACAUGCAAGUCGAACGGCAGCACAGUAAGAGCUUGCUCUUACGGGUGGCGAGUGGCGGACGGGUGAGGAAUACAUCGGAAUCUACUUUUUCGUGGGGGAUAACGUAGGGAAACUUACGCUAAUACCGCAUACGACCUACGGGUGAAAGCAGGGGAUCUUCGGACCUUGCGCGAUUGAAUGAGCCGAUGUCGGAUUAGCUAGUUGGCGGGGUAAAGGCCCACCAAGGCGACGAUCCGUAGCUGGUCUGAGAGGAUGAUCAGCCACACUGGAACUGAGACACGGUCCAGACUCCUACGGGAGGCAGCAGUGGGGAAUAUUGGACAAUGGGCGCAAGCCUGAUCCAGCUAUACCGCGUGGGUGAAGGAGGCCUUCGGGUUGUAAAGCCCUUUUGUUGGGAAAGAAAAGCAGCAGGUUAAUACCCCGCUGUUCUGACGGUACCCAAAGAAUAAGCACCGGCUAACUUCGUG